Molecule: ribosomal RNA, 440 nt
Filed under: Streptococcus agalactiae
Lineage: Bacteria; Bacillati; Bacillota; Bacilli; Lactobacillales; Streptococcaceae
Description: bacterial SSU rRNA
Rfam family: Bacterial small subunit ribosomal RNA
Source: RNAcentral
CCUACGGGUGGCAGCAGUGGGGAAUAUUGGACAAUGGGCGCAAGCCUGAUCCAGCAAUGCCGCGUGAGUGAAGAAGGUCUUCGGAUUGUAAAGCUCUUUCGGCGGGGACGAUGAUGACGGUACCCGUAGAAGAAGCCCCGGCUAACUUCGUGCCAGCAGCCGCGGUAAUACGAAGGGGGCUAGCGUUGUUCGGAAUUACUGGGCGUAAAGGGCGCGUAGGCGGCUGACACAGUCAGAUGUGAAAUCCCCGGGCUCAACCUGGGGGCUGCAUUUGAUACGUGAUGGCUAGAGUGCGGUAGAGGGACGUGGAAUUCCACGUGUAGAGGUGAAAUUCGUAGAUUACGCGACGAACACCCGAUCUGAUGGCGGCGUUAUGUGACGCAACAAACUCGGAGGCGUGAAUGCUUGGCGAGAUCACAGGAUUAGAUUCAUCAAAAGUC